Molecule: long non-coding RNA, 470 nt
Organism: Sorghum bicolor (sorghum)
Lineage: Eukaryota; Viridiplantae; Streptophyta; Magnoliopsida; Poales; Poaceae
Exons: 3
Source: RefSeq, a predicted model, not a curated record
AACUUCAUUUCUCUUCUUCCCCUUUCUCCACUCAGCAGCGGCACAGCAGCAGUGUUGCUCAUGGCGACGGCGGUGGGCGAGCCGCAGGCCAGGCUCUCGCCCCUCUCCUUUCUCUAUCGCUUCCCUGCUGUGCUAGUGGCCCGAGGCCGGAGAAUGGAUGACGGUGCGGCCAUGAGGCCUCUCGCUGGUGCGCGUGCUCGCCCCCGGCUCAGCACGCCACCGUCGAGCGGCCGUGGGGCCGUGCCCUAAGCCCCAGCCAGUCCGUCGAUGGUGGCUCCGAAUAAAAGGUCGUUGGGUUGCAGAUCUACAUUCUUUAGCAUGAUGCAUGGUUAUAUCAAGUGUGCUAGCUGGAGGUGGUGGGAGCCCUUCUGCUUUGGUGCCUGUUCGUCGACGAACACCAACGAGGUAGAGAUGGAGUGCAAGGUGAAUCAGUUUUACUAUUGGUUGAACAAGAGAAAAAAUUUCGAGUG